Homo sapiens (human) is the source of this 737-nucleotide long non-coding RNA. Lineage: Eukaryota; Metazoa; Chordata; Mammalia; Primates; Hominidae. The record is from Ensembl.
ACUUCUGAAACAGGUCCCCAGUGGCACCUCAGUUUAUCCAUUCCCGUUUUGGUUUCGCAGCUGUCAUCCGGUCCCAACGCCAGAAUAGGAGAAAAACCUGCAGGCUAAGAGAGAAGGGAGGGCUGGGCCUGAGGUUCAGUCUUGGUCAUCUCCGACUGGCGGCGCUAGGAUUUCCCCCUUCCUGUGUCUUGAUGGGUUCCUCCAACACUCACUUUGUAUCGAUAAACGACCCUGCAGUUCUUCACGACCUGCAUUGCGCUGGCAGUCCUGAGUGAAGAACUCUCCUCUCAUCCCAGAGAUGGGAAACCUGGAUCUGAGACUGCCAGCUAGCUGCGGCCUCCUAGUCUGUAAAGCGAAGGGAGACCAGGACGCUCCCAAGGACCCGGCUUAUCGCCCCUCCCUUUCCUUCCCGGGGACCCAGAACAGACCACAAGACGGAGGGUGGCCGCUGGAGGUCGCCGUGGCCCCGCGAUACCACCAACCGACAGAAAUGGAGAACAGUUGAUUCAGAUUCAGCUGAUAUUCUCAGGUCUGGAGCGGGCCUGAGCGCUUUAAUUAGCCCGGGGCUAAUGUCCUCACCCAUCUUUGUUUAUAGAACGUUGAAACUCCAGUACUGUUGGUAAGUUCCAGGAAGACAGGAACUUUGCACUACUUGAACUCCAGGGUCUAGAACAGCCUGCAAUCUAGCAGAUGCUGUAAAUUUUUUAAUUAAAUACUGAACUCCUGUAGGACGGUGA